UUAAGCGACUAAGCGUACACGGUGGAUGCCCUGGCAGUCAGAGGCGAUGAAGGACGUGCUAAUCUGCGAUAAGCGUCGGUAAGGUGAUAUGAACCGUUAUAACCGGCGAUUUCCGAAUGGGGAAACCCAGUGUGUUUCGACACACUAUCAUUAACUGAAUCCAUAGGUUAAUGAGGCGAACCGGGGGAACUGAAACAUCUAAGUACCCCGAGGAAAAGAAAUCAACCGAGAUUCCCCAAGUAGCGGCGAGCGAACGGGGAGCAGCCCAGAGCCUGAAUCAGUGUGUGUGUUAGUGGAAGCGUCUGGAAAGGCGCGCGAUACAGGGUGACAGCCCCGUACACAAAAAUGCACAUAUUGUGAGCUCGAUGAGUAGGGCGGGACACGUGGUAUCCUGUCUGAAUAUGGGGGGACCAUCCUCCAAGGCUAAAUACUCCUGACUGACCGAUAGUGAACCAGUACCGUGAGGGAAAGGCGAAAAGAACCCCGGCGAGGGGAGUGAAAAAGAACCUGAAACCGUGUACGUACAAGCAGUGGGAGCACGCUUAGGCGUGUGACUGCGUACCUUUUGUAUAAUGGGUCAGCGACUUAUAUUCUGUAGCAAGGUUAACCGAAUAGGGGAGCCGAAGGGAAACCGAGUCUUAACUGGGCGUUAAGUUGCAGGGUAUAGACCCGAAACCCGGUGAUCUAGCCAUGGGCAGGUUGAAGGUUGGGUAACACUAACUGGAGGACCGAACCGACUAAUGUUGAAAAAUUAGCGGAUGACUUGUGGCUGGGGGUGAAAGGCCAAUCAAACCGGGAGAUAGCUGGUUCUCCCCGAAAGCUAUUUAGGUAGCGCCUCGUGAAUUCAUCUCCGGGGGUAGAGCACUGUUUCGGCAAGGGGGUCAUCCCGACUUACCAACCCGAUGCAAACUGCGAAUACCGGAGAAUGUUAUCACGGGAGACACACGGCGGGUGCUAACGUCCGUCGUGAAGAGGGAAACAACCCAGACCGCCAGCUAAGGUCCCAAAGUCAUGGUUAAGUGGGAAACGAUGUGGGAAGGCCCAGACAGCCAGGAUGUUGGCUUAGAAGCAGCCAUCAUUUAAAGAAAGCGUAAUAGCUCACUGGUCGAGUCGGCCUGCGCGGAAGAUGUAACGGGGCUAAACCAUGCACCGAAGCUGCGGCAGCGACGCUUAUGCGUUGUUGGGUAGGGGAGCGUUCUGUAAGCCUGCGAAGGUGUGCUGUGAGGCAUGCUGGAGGUAUCAGAAGUGCGAAUGCUGACAUAAGUAACGAUAAAGCGGGUGAAAAGCCCGCUCGCCGGAAGACCAAGGGUUCCUGUCCAACGUUAAUCGGGGCAGGGUGAGUCGACCCCUAAGGCGAGGCCGAAAGGCGUAGUCGAUGGGAAACAGGUUAAUAUUCCUGUACUUGGUGUUACUGCGAAGGGGGGACGGAGAAGGCUAUGUUGGCCGGGCGACGGUUGUCCCGGUUUAAGCGUGUAGGCUGGUUUUCCAGGCAAAUCCGGAAAAUCAAGGCUGAGGCGUGAUGACGAGGCACUACGGUGCUGAAGCAACAAAUGCCCUGCUUCCAGGAAAAGCCUCUAAGCAUCAGGUAACAUCAAAUCGUACCCCAAACCGACACAGGUGGUCAGGUAGAGAAUACCAAGGCGCUUGAGAGAACUCGGGUGAAGGAACUAGGCAAAAUGGUGCCGUAACUUCGGGAGAAGGCACGCUGAUAUGUAGGUGAAGCGACUUGCUCGUGGAGCUGAAAUCAGUCGAAGAUACCAGCUGGCUGCAACUGUUUAUUAAAAACACAGCACUGUGCAAACACGAAAGUGGACGUAUACGGUGUGACGCCUGCCCGGUGCCGGAAGGUUAAUUGAUGGGGUCAGCGCAAGCGAAGCUCUUGAUCGAAGCCCCGGUAAACGGCGGCCGUAACUAUAACGGUCCUAAGGUAGCGAAAUUCCUUGUCGGGUAAGUUCCGACCUGCACGAAUGGCGUAAUGAUGGCCAGGCUGUCUCCACCCGAGACUCAGUGAAAUUGAACUCGCUGUGAAGAUGCAGUGUACCCGCGGCAAGACGGAAAGACCCCGUGAACCUUUACUAUAGCUUGACACUGAACAUUGAGCCUUGAUGUGUAGGAUAGGUGGGAGGCUUUGAAGUGUGGACGCCAGUCUGCAUGGAGCCGACCUUGAAAUACCACCCUUUAAUGUUUGAUGUUCUAACGUUGACCCGUGAUCCGGGUUGCGGACAGUGUCUGGUGGGUAGUUUGACUGGGGCGGUCUCCUCCUAAAGAGUAACGGAGGAGCACGAAGGUUGGCUAAUCCUGGUCGGACAUCAGGAGGUUAGUGCAAUGGCAUAAGCCAGCUUGACUGCGAGCGUGACGGCGCGAGCAGGUGCGAAAGCAGGUCAUAGUGAUCCGGUGGUUCUGAAUGGAAGGGCCAUCGCUCAACGGAUAAAAGGUACUCCGGGGAUAACAGGCUGAUACCGCCCAAGAGUUCAUAUCGACGGCGGUGUUUGGCACCUCGAUGUCGGCUCAUCACAUCCUGGGGCUGAAGUAGGUCCCAAGGGUAUGGCUGUUCGCCAUUUAAAGUGGUACGCGAGCUGGGUUUAGAACGUCGUGAGACAGUUCGGUCCCUAUCUGCCGUGGGCGCUGGAGAACUGAGGGGGGCUGCUCCUAGUACGAGAGGACCGGAGUGGACGCAUCACUGGUGUUCGGGUUGUCAUGCCAAUGGCACUGCCCGGUAGCUAAAUGCGGAAGAGAUAAGUGCUGAAAGCAUCUAAGCACGAAACUUGCCCCGAGAUGAGUUCUCCCUGACUCCUUGAGAGUCCUGAAGGAACGUUGAAGACGACGACGUUGAUAGGCCGGGUGUGUAAGCGCAGCGAUGCGUUGAGCUAACCGGUACUAAUGAACCGUGAGGCUUAACCUU
Molecule: ribosomal RNA, 2902 nt
Filed under: Escherichia coli
Lineage: Bacteria; Pseudomonadati; Pseudomonadota; Gammaproteobacteria; Enterobacterales; Enterobacteriaceae
Description: bacterial LSU rRNA
Rfam family: Bacterial large subunit ribosomal RNA
Source: RNAcentral